AGCCGGAGGUGGCAAAGCGCAGAGCCGGGUAACCCCGCCAGGCCUGAAAGGGAGCAACGGUAACCGGACUCGCGUUGUUGCUGCCUUCGGCGUUU
This 95-nucleotide signal recognition particle RNA is filed under the name Candidatus Methylacidithermus pantelleriae. RNAcentral describes it as "Bacterial small signal recognition particle RNA". It matches the Rfam family "Bacterial small signal recognition particle RNA". From Rfam's summary of the family: The signal recognition particle (SRP) is a universally conserved ribonucleoprotein involved in the co-translational targeting of proteins to membranes. Archaeal SRP consists of a 7S RNA and homologues of the eukaryotic SRP19 and SRP54 proteins. In most bacteria, the SRP consists of a 4.5S RNA and the Ffh protein (a homologue of the eukaryotic SRP54 protein). The record is from Rfam by way of RNAcentral. Lineage: Bacteria; Pseudomonadati; Verrucomicrobiota; Methylacidiphilae; Methylacidiphilales; Methylacidiphilaceae.